Molecule: long non-coding RNA, 2666 nt
Organism: Gasterosteus aculeatus aculeatus (three-spined stickleback)
Lineage: Eukaryota; Metazoa; Chordata; Actinopteri; Perciformes; Gasterosteidae
Source: Ensembl
CCCCCCCCCCCCCACCCCCGCCCUGGGUUUGUGACAACAUAAAACCAUGGAUGUAUUAUGUAAUACAUUCAUUGAAAGCAGUCUGGGAGGACAGGAAGCCACUCCAGCCAAUUCUAUUGAGACCAACCCCAUUCCACCCUAAUGGGCCUGCGUGGUCUUUUCAAAUAUAUAUAUAUAUAUAUAUACAUAUAUAUAUACACACACACGCACAUUUAUAUAUAUACCUUGUGCCUUUUUAAUUUGGCCAAUUUAUCCAUGGAUCACACAUUUUUGUAAAGAACUUGCCUUACUUUGUCCCUGUCUUUCCAAUUUUGGCCCACUGUUUAUUAAUGUUUAUCAAACUGGAGAGUGUGUUUUAGACGGUGUGUGAAUGGGUUGUUCAGAGUUUUAUUUGAAUGGUGUAUAUGUAAUAAAAUGUUUUUCUAUUCUAAAACCUACUGGCCGUUUUUGUACUUGGAUACCACUUUGAUGUACUUUUACUUAACACUCAAACUCAAAUAUUAUUGUAUGAUUGUUUUUUUGUUUUUUUUAUCGCUGUGAUACAAAACAUAUCUGUGUAAUUCUAUUCCUGAAUAUUUCUGCACUUUCCUAACUAGUAGUGUAUUAUUGUUGUAUCUACACAGCGGUGUUGAAUGUGAAGACAGGUGCUUAUAUUUGUCUUACAUUUUUAGAUAUGUGGCUUCAAUGAAUGAAUGAAUCUGGGAAGAAGUUCUGAAAGACCAACAGAGGCUCUGAGAAAGGAUACUUCAUUUCCAUUACCAGAGAAGAUGAGACCUCCACACAGACGGAACCUGCAACAGUCGAAUGACCGACUGUAAUUUAGUUUUUCUGCGUCCUCUUAUAGAGAAGAACCUCAUCAGAAGAUCCACGACAAAGGAAGACCAAGUGAGAGUAAGGAGACACCAGUAAAUCUACAUUUAGUCUCCAUACUUUGUAAAAAUACAGCACACACUAGCAGGAAUGUUGUAACAGAGUAUGUCAAAAUACAGUAAAAGAACAUCAGUGUAUAGUACUGUAUGUUGUGAAAAAAAGCGUGGAAAUCUUAUAGUAUAGCGGGCCAAAAAAUAUUCAGUAUGUUAAAAGCAAAAGCAGAGCAUUUUAAAUCGAUUAUACAGUUAAAGAGUCAUACGGGAGGUAUUUUAAAAAGUCAUAGUCAUAAAGAAACGUUGAAGCAUGUUCAAAAAAGAACAUAAUACAUACUCGAACUAUGGCAUGAUGAAAAGCAUGAAUGAUGUCUAAAUAUGUGAAAAUGAAUUAUUUUUAAAGAACACAGUAAAUGUCAGAGAGGAAUCAUACUAAAGUGAGGCGGACGUUUAACUACGGCAUGUAGUUGAAAAAGGUCGUAGCGUAGUGUGUCAAACAGUCCUAGAAUAUCUUCUAACAUGUGGAAAAAGUACUUAAAAAGGCAUAAAUAAAUAAAAUGCUCUUCUAUUUUCAUAUAGAACCGCCUGUCUGUCAUACAAAUAUAAUUAAACAAAUGAAGGAUUAGAUAAGUCAUAAAACAGUGUAGUACGCCAUAAAAGACACACCAUGUCUUAAAAAAAGCUCAUGGUAUAGUAUGUUAUAAAGAUUCAUGAUUAUAUCGCUCAUCAACAUUAUUUUAUGCGAUAAAUGGGUCAUUAAAACAUCAUGGUAUACUAUUAAAAAAUAAUUUGAUAAAACUACUUUAUCUGGGAAAACAGACUAUUUUCAUUUCAUAAAGGCGAGUAGAGAUGGAGUGUGUGCAAAUGACCCGAUACUAGUGUAUGAAUUAUUGUGUGUCUGUCCUUUAUUUGAGCAGCUGGAGCACCACAGGGAGGCUCAUCAAGUAUCCGUAUGAUUAAGCAUUAAAUGUGUUUCUUCCUGACAGACUGCAGCUUUCUGAAUUAAAUUGUACACAUAAUUAAAGUUCUUGAUGGAAAUAACAGAAAUUCAUUCUAAUAAAGAUGUUUGUGUUUUUUUCUUUUGCACUUCUCCAGCUGAACGAACAAAGAUUUGUUGAGGUUUGUGGGAAAAUGACAUAGCAAAGCUUGCUGAAAAAAGUGAUAUGUAAUAUUUUUUUAAUAAAACUUUAGAGCAAGACAAUAUUUUUUGGGGAAAAAACUGUCAACGUGCAGUAACCAAAAAAAGUCAUAAUAUAGCACGGUCUAAAAUAAUUAAGAAAGCUCAAAAAAAGUGAAAAGUGGUGAUUUUAAAGCAUGUUGAAAAUAGAGUGAAAAACGGUAAAAAAAAACGGUGAAAAAAGUAUUUUUAAAAAGCCAUAGUGUAGCAGGGAAAUUCAAUAAAUGAUGUGUUAAUGAACGGCUGGUGGAAUAGUGCAGGGGAACAGUAGUCUCAAAGAUCCAAGGUCCAAACCUGCUUUCAGAGUUUGUGGGUUUGAAUCCAGUUAUCGUUCUUGUAUGAAAUAGUUUUACAGAUCUACUCACAACCUCAAGGUGAAAUACGAGAACCGAAGCCAAGUGGAUAUAAGUGUGGUGGAAUACUGCAGGAGUUUAGCACACAGGCUGCACACCCAGAAUACUUGUAUAAACCUACUCUCAACCUCUCAAAGGUUGUUGGUACGAGUCCAGCGACGGGCAUAGCUCUGGUAUUGGAAAGUUUUCAGGUUCCUCUCGAAAUCUCAAGGUUAAAUACAAGAAACGAGGUAAUGAAACAUGUGCCUAGUGGAAUAGCACAGUGGUUAAACA